GCGAAGGUGGCGGAAUUGGUAGACGCGCUAGCUUCAGGUGUUAGUGUACCUUACGGAACGUGGGGGUUCAAGUCCCCCCCCCUCGCACCA
This 90-nucleotide transfer RNA is filed under the name Shigella sonnei. RNAcentral's name for it is "tRNA-Leu". It matches the Rfam family "tRNA". From Rfam's summary of the family: Transfer RNA (tRNA) molecules are approximately 80 nucleotides in length. The record is from RNAcentral. Lineage: Bacteria; Pseudomonadati; Pseudomonadota; Gammaproteobacteria; Enterobacterales; Enterobacteriaceae.